RNAcentral lists this long non-coding RNA (219 nucleotides) under Gossypium barbadense (sea-island cotton). RNAcentral describes it as "long non-coding RNA (GBAR_LNC010696)". The record is from RNAcentral. Lineage: Eukaryota; Viridiplantae; Streptophyta; Magnoliopsida; Malvales; Malvaceae.
UGGGAGAAGAGAGAAAACUAAGAGAGAAAGAUUGGUUGGGAUGAAUUGAAAUGAGAAAUGAGAAGGCCUAUUUAUAGUUGAGGUUUAAGGACCAAACAAUAAAUAGCCCAUUAUCUCAAGGACCAAAAAAAAAUUUAUCCCAUGCCACUUUUUCAAAGUCAACUUUAGGGUGCUAAACUUGCACCACUUUGUAUUGUUUGCCAUUAAUGUUGUCUCCCA